GCGAGGGGAGUGAAAAAGAACCUGAAACCGUGUACGUACAAGCAGUGGGAGCCCCACCACUAAGCCAGUGGUGAACUCCACAUACGCAUCCUUUGCUGAGGAUACGGUUAACGGAGCGAAAGCGACGUUCAACCGCAAAAGAAGCAGAGGGGGCUUAGUGGUGGGGUGACUGCGUACCUUUUGUAUAAUGGGUCAGCGACUUAUAUUCUGUAGCAAGGUUAACCGAAUAGGGGAGCCGGAGGGAAACCGAGUCUUAACCGGGCGUUAAGUUGCAGGGUAUAGACCCGAAACCCGGUGAUCUAGCCAUGGGCAGGUUGAAGGUUGGGUAACACUAACUGGAGGACCGAACCGACUAAUGUUGAAAAAUUAGCGGAUGACCUGUGGCUGGGGGUGAAAGGCCAAUCAAACCGGGAGAUAGCUGGUUCUCCCCGAAAGCUAUUUAGGUAGCGCCUCGUGAACUCAUCUCCGGGGGUAGAGCACUGUUUCGGCUAGGGGGCCAUCCCGGCUUACCAACCCGAUGCAAACUGCGAAUACCGGAGAAUGUUAUCACGGGAGACACACGGCGGGUGCUAACGUCCGUCGUGAAGAGGGAAACAACCCAGACCGCCAGCUAAGGUCCCAAAGUCAUGGUUAAGUGGGAAACGAUGUGGGAAGGCCCAGACAGCCAGGAUGUUGGCUUAGAAGCAGCCAUCAUUUAAAGAAAGCGUAAUAGCUCACUGGUCGAGUCGGCCUGCGCGGAAGAUGUAACGGGGCUAAACCAUGCACCGAAGCUGCGGCAGCGACACUCAGGUGUUGUUGGGUAGGGGAGCGUUCUGUAAGCCUGCGAAGGUGGCCUGUGAGGGUUGCUGGAGGUAUCAGAAGUGCGAAUGCUGACAUAAGUAACGAUAAAGCGGGUGAAAAGCCCGCUCGCCGGAAGACCAAGGGUUCCUGUCCAACGUUAAUCGGGGCAGGGUGAGUCGACCCCUAAGGCGAGGCCGAAAGGCGUAGUCGAUGGGAAACGGGUUAAUAUUCCCGUACUUGGUGUUACUGCGAAGGGGGGACGGAGAAGGCUAUGUUGGCCGGGCGACGGUUGUCCCGGUUUAAGCGUGUAGGUGUGUGUUCCAGGUAAAUCCGGUUCACUUUAACACUGAGGCGUGAUGACGAGGCACUACGGUGCUGAAGCAACAAAUGCCCUGCUUCCAGGAAAAGCCUCUAAGCAUCAGGUAACAUCAAAUCGUACCCCAAACCGACACAGGUGGUCAGGUAGAGAAUACCAAGGCGCUUGAGAGAACUCGGGUGAAGGAACUAGGCAAAAUGGUGCCGUAACUUCGGGAGAAGGCACGCUGACACGUAGGUGAAGUGAUUUACUCAUGGAGCUGAAGUCAGUCGAAGAUACCAGCUGGCUGCAACUGUUUAUUAAAAACACAGCACUGUGCAAACACGAAAGUGGACGUAUACGGUGUGACGCCUGCCCGGUGCCGGAAGGUUAAUUGAUGGGGUCAGCGCAAGCGAAGCUCCUGAUCGAAGCCCCGGUAAACGGCGGCCGUAACUAUAACGGUCCUAAGGUAGCGAAAUUCCUUGUCGGGUAAGUUCCGACCUGCACGAAUGGCGUAAUGAUGGCCAGGCUGUCUCCACCCGAGACUCAGUGAAAUUGAACUCGCUGUGAAGAUGCAGUGUACCCGCGGCAAGACGGAAAGACCCCGUGAACCUUUACUAUAGCUUGACACUGAACAUUGAGCCUUGAUGUGUAGGAUAGGUGGGAGGCUUUGAAGUGUGGACGCCAGUCUGCAUGGAGCCGGCCUUGAAAUACCACCCUUUAAUGUUUGAUGUUCUAACGUGGACCCGUGAUCCGGGUUGCGGACAGUGUCUGGUGGGUAGUUUGACUGGGGCGGUCUCCUCCUAAAGAGUAACGGAGGAGCACGAAGGUUGGCUAAUCCUGGUCGGACAUCAGGAGGUUAGUGCAAUGGCAUAAGCCAGCUUGACUGCGAGCGUGACGGCGCGAGCAGGUGCGAAAGCAGGUCAUAGUGAUCCGGUGGUUCUGAAUGGAAGGGCCAUCGCUCAACGGAUAAAAGGUACUCCGGGGAUAACAGGCUGAUACCGCCCAAGAGUUCAUAUCGACGGCGGUGUUUGGCACCUCGAUGUCGGCUCAUCACAUCCUGGGGCUGAAGUAGGUCCCAAGGGUAUGGCUGUUCGCCAUUUAAAGUGGUACGCGAGCUGGGUUUAGAACGUCGUGAGACAGUUCGGUCCCUAUCUGCCGUGGGCGCUGGAGAACUGAGGGGGGCUGCUCCUAGUACGAGAGGACCGGAGUGGACGCAUCACUGGUGUUCGGGUUGUCAUGCCAAUGGCACUGCCCGGUAGCUAAAUGCGGAAGAGAUAAGUGCUGAAAGCAUCUAAGCACGAAACUUGCCCCGAGAUGAGUUCUCCCUGAGACUUUAGGUCUCCUGAAGGAACGUUGAAGACGACGACGUUGAUAGGCCGGGUGUGUAAGCGCAGCGAUGCGUUGAGCUAACCGGUACUAAUGAACCGUGAGGCUUAACCUUACA
Molecule: ribosomal RNA, 2522 nt
Filed under: Salmonella enterica
Lineage: Bacteria; Pseudomonadati; Pseudomonadota; Gammaproteobacteria; Enterobacterales; Enterobacteriaceae
Description: partial 23S ribosomal RNA
Rfam family: Bacterial large subunit ribosomal RNA
Source: RNAcentral